Molecule: ribosomal RNA, 445 nt
Filed under: uncultured bacterium
Lineage: Bacteria
Description: bacterial SSU rRNA
Rfam family: Bacterial small subunit ribosomal RNA
Source: RNAcentral
CCAGACUCCUACGGGAGGCAGCAGUGGGGAAUAUUGCACAAUGGGGGGAACCCUGAUGCAGCGACGCCGCGUGAGUGAAGAAGUAUUUCGGUAUGUAAAGCUCUAUCAGCAGGGAAGAAAAUGACGGUACCUGACUAAGAAGCCCCGGCUAACUACGUGCCAGCAGCCGCGGUAAUACGUAGGGGGCAAGCGUUAUCCGGAUUUACUGGGUGUAAAGGGAGCGUAGACGGUUAUGCAAGUCUGAAGUGAAAGCCCAAGGCUCAACCAUGGGACUGCAUUUGGAACUGUGUGGCUGGAGUGUCGGAGAGGCAGGCGGAAUUCCUAGUGUAGCGGUGAAAUGCGUAGAUAUUAGGAGGAACACCAGUGGCGAAGGCGGCCUGCUGGACGAUGACUGACGUUGAGGCUCGAAAGCGUGGGGAGCAAACAGGAUUAGAUACCCCAGUAA